GACAGAGGUGCCAAGCGUUAGGCGGAAUCACUGGGCUUAAAGCGUGUGUAGGCGGAUGUCUAAGUACCUUGUGAAAUCCCACGGCUCAACCGUGGAACUGCUUGGUAUACUGGAUGUCUUGAGCCACUUAGGGGUUACCGGAACAAAUGGUGGAGCGGUGAAAUGCGUAGAUAUCAUUUGGAACGCCAAUGGUGAAAACAGGUAACUGGGAGUGUGCUGACGCUGAGACACGAAAGCUAGGGGAGCAAACGGG
Molecule: ribosomal RNA, 253 nt
Filed under: uncultured bacterium
Lineage: Bacteria
Description: partial 16S ribosomal RNA
Rfam family: Bacterial small subunit ribosomal RNA
Source: RNAcentral